GCAUAUCAAUAAGCGGAGGAAAAGAAACUAACAAGGAUUCCCCUAGUAACGGCGAGUGAAGUGGGAAAAGCUCAACUUUGAAAUCUGGCACCUUCGGUGUCCGAGUUGUAGUCUCAAGAAGUGUUUUCUGUGCCGGCCCGUGUAUGAGUCUGUUGGAACACAGCGUCAUAGAGGGUGACAACCCCGUUCAUGACACGGAUCCCGGCGCUUUGUGAUACACUCUCGAAGAGUCGAGUUGUUUGGGAAUGCAGCUCAAAUUGGGUGGUAAAUUCCAUCUAAAGCUAAAUAUUGGCGAGAGACCGAUAGCAAACAAGUACCGUGAGGGAAAGAUGAAAAGCACUUUGGAAAGAGAGUUAACAGUACGUGAAAUUGUUGAAAGGGAAACGAUUGAAGUCAGACGUGCGUGAUGCGGUUCAGCUCUGGUUCGCCAGAGUGUACUCCGUAUCUUUGCAGGCCAACAUCAGUUUCGCGAGUCGGAUAAAGGUUAGAGGAAUGUGGCACCUCCGGGUGUGUUAUAGCCUCUGACUGAAUACGAUUUGUGGGACUGAGGAACGCAGCGCGCCGCAAGGCAAAGGUUUCGACCUUUUCGCGCUUAGGAUGUUGGUGAAAUGGCUUUAAACGACCCGUCUUGAAACACGGACC
Molecule: ribosomal RNA, 642 nt
Filed under: Cystobasidium minutum
Lineage: Eukaryota; Fungi; Basidiomycota; Cystobasidiomycetes; Cystobasidiales; Cystobasidiaceae
Description: eukaryotic LSU rRNA
Rfam family: Eukaryotic large subunit ribosomal RNA
Source: RNAcentral